AUUGAACGCUGGCGGCAUGCUUUACACAUGCAAGUCGAACGGUAACAGGUUAAGCUGACGAGUGGCGAACGGGUGAGUAAUGCAUCGGAACGUGCCCGGUCGUGGGGGAUAACGCAGCGAAAGCUGCGCUAAUACCGCAAACGAUCUGAGGAUGAAAGCGGGGGACCGUAAGGCCUCGCGCGAUCGGAGCGGCCGAUGUCAGAUUAGGUAGUUGGUUGGGUAAAGGCUCACCAAGCCAACGAUCUGUAGCUGGUCUGAGAGGACGACCAGCCACACUGGGACUGAGACGCGGCCCAGACUCCUACUGGAGGCAGCAGUGGGGAAUUUUGGACAAUGGGCGAAAGCCUGAUCCAGCAAUGCCGCGUGCAAGAAGAAGGCCUUCGGGUUGUAAACUGCUUUUGUACGGAGCGAAAAGGUCUCCUCUAAUACAGGGGGCUCAUGACGGUACCGUAAGAAUAAGCACCGGCUAACUACGUGCCAGCCGCCGCCGUAA
Molecule: ribosomal RNA, 493 nt
Filed under: uncultured bacterium
Lineage: Bacteria
Description: partial 16S ribosomal RNA
Rfam family: Bacterial small subunit ribosomal RNA
Source: RNAcentral